Molecule: ribosomal RNA, 492 nt
Filed under: uncultured bacterium
Lineage: Bacteria
Description: partial 16S ribosomal RNA
Rfam family: Bacterial small subunit ribosomal RNA
Source: RNAcentral
AGUGAACGCUGGCGGUAGGCCUAACACAUGCAAGUCGAACGGCAGCACAGUAAGAGCUUGCUCUUACGGGUGGCGAGUGGCGGACGGGUGAGGAAUACAUCGGAAUCUACUUUUUCGGGGGGGAUAACGUAGGGAAACUUACGCUAAUACCGAAUACGACCUACGGGUGAAAGCAGGGGAUAUUCGGACCUUGCGCGAUUGAAUGAGCCGAUGUCGGAUUAGCUAGUUGGCGGGGUAAAGGCCCACCAAGGCGACGAUCCGUAGCUGGUCUGAGAGGAUGAUCAGCCACACUGGAACUGAGACACGGUCCAGACUCCUACGGGAGGCAGCAGUGGGGAAUCUUGGACAAUGGGCGCAAGCCUGAUCCAGCCAUACCGCGUGGGUGAAGAAGGCCUUCGGGUUGUAAAGCCCUGUUGUUGGGAAAGAAAAGCAGCGGGUUAAUACCCCGCUGUUCUGACGGUACCCAAAGAAUAAGCACCGGCUAACUUCGUG